GAGCCGGUCGCCUAGCACGGUCGGGCAGCUGGCCUUUAACCAGCCCUGCGUCGGUUCAAAUCCGACCCGGCUCA
Molecule: non-coding RNA, 74 nt
Organism: Euryarchaeota archaeon RBG_16_68_12
Lineage: Archaea; Methanobacteriati; Methanobacteriota
Source: Rfam